This 257-nucleotide ribosomal RNA is filed under the name uncultured prokaryote. Its description in RNAcentral is "partial 16S ribosomal RNA". It matches the Rfam family "Bacterial small subunit ribosomal RNA", at positions 524 to 780 of the family's 1533-position model. The record is from RNAcentral.
CACGUAGGGGCGAGCGUUGUCCGGAUUCAUUGGGCGUAAAGAGCUCGUAGGCGGCUCAGCAAGUCGGGUGUGAAAACUCCAGGCUCAACCUGGAGACGCCACUCGAUACUGCUGUGGCUAGAGUCCAGUAGGGGAGCGUGGAAUUCCCGGUGUAGCGGUGAAAUGCGCAGAUAUCGGGAGGAACACCAGCGGCGAAGGCGGCGCUCUGGGCUGGGACUGACGCUGAGGAGCGAAAGCGUGGGGAGCAAACAGGAUUA